This 739-nucleotide long non-coding RNA is filed under the name Homo sapiens (human). RNAcentral describes it as "HSALNT0353883". Lineage: Eukaryota; Metazoa; Chordata; Mammalia; Primates; Hominidae. The record is from RNAcentral.
GGUCGUCUGGAGAUGGACUUCAUGUGCAAGCGCUUUGCCUUAAUGAGUACUGCAGCAAAUGCACAGUGAGGGACUCUUACCCAAGAAACCUAGAAUGAAAUCUGUGCUGCCUGCUACAACCUGUGGCUUUGGAUUUUCUCGAGGCCCCAGAGCGUCAGGUAAUAUUUUCCGAAUGGCACUCUGCGUGGGAAGGAGCUUGUGCACGUGCACGCUGCCACCAUCUGCCCUCAGCGCUGAUUCAGGAGGCGCUUCUCAACUAUAGCCCACAGUGUGACAACUGAACGUGUCCCCUCACGUUUCCAAAUACGGGGGGUGCAGGAGGCACUGCUCACUGUUGCACCCCCUGACCCACGCUGCCAGUCCUGCCCUCACUGCUGGGUGCUCACUGGGACCCUGGAAAGGUCUAGCUGAGCCUUUUAGGGCAUGAGGAUGUUGGGAGAAUAGAGGUGGCUCCUCUGAGAAGCCUGAGAAGUGAUCAGGCCAACCUUAGAAUCUCUGACUACUAGAGGCUUGACUUGCAGUGAAACCCGUCCUAAUUGAUGAAGAUCCUGUAUCGAGUUAGAGAAAUGGAAGAAACGACGCGGGGGUCUGGUUUGCCAGCCAACAGCUGUGGCUUAAAUCUGAGUCCUUUGGAAAGAAAGGAAGGCAUUCCUUUUAUUUCUAAUAUGGCUAAGGUGGAAGUUCUUCAUCUCUGUGUGCAUGCAGCUUAGUUCCUGCUCCUUCAGCCAAGCUAACGCGG